UUGUGUGUAGGAGGAAUUGAUUUAUUUUAGUGGAAACAAGGAAACACUAAAAUUAAAUCAGUUUUUAA
Molecule: non-coding RNA, 68 nt
Filed under: unclassified sequences
Also listed under: 1 other name
Description: Cyano-1 RNA
Rfam family: Cyano-1 RNA
Source: RNAcentral